Molecule: ribosomal RNA, 449 nt
Filed under: uncultured bacterium
Lineage: Bacteria
Description: bacterial SSU rRNA
Rfam family: Bacterial small subunit ribosomal RNA
Source: RNAcentral
CUAAGAAUCUUCCGCAAUGGACGAAAGUCUGACGGAGCGACGCCGCGUGGGUGAUGAAGGCGGAAACGUUGUAAAACCCUUUUGUCGACGAGGAAUAAGGUGGGGAGGGAAUGCCUCACUGAUGACGGUAGUCGGCGAAUAAGCCCCGGCUAAUUACGUGCCAGCAGCCGCGGUAACACGUAUGGGGCGAGCGUUGUUCGGAAUUAUUGGGCGUAAAGGGUGUGCAGGCGGUUAUCUAAGUCUGGCGUGAAAGACCCGAGCUUAACUCGGGGAACGCGUUGGAAACUGGGUGACUAGAGUUCUGGAGGGGUAGCUGGAAUUCCAGGUGUAGGGGUGAAAUCUGUAGAUAUCUGGAAGAACAUCAGUGGCGAAGGCGAGCUACUAGCCAAGGACUGACGCUGAGACACGAAAGCGUGGGGAGCAAACAGGAUUAGAUACCCGGGUAGUCC